This 610-nucleotide long non-coding RNA is filed under the name Homo sapiens (human). RNAcentral's name for it is "HSALNT0313284". The record is from RNAcentral. Lineage: Eukaryota; Metazoa; Chordata; Mammalia; Primates; Hominidae.
CUGAGCGUAAUGUUAAUGUUCUGAGUGCUUCUGAAGUGACAGGAAGUGGUGCAUAUGCCCAGGGACAAAGCCAAGUUGAGGAGCAGAACCACAGUAGCUUGAGGAAGGAAUAGGUGAGAGUGAUCCACCUGCCUCGGCCUCCCAAAGUGCUGGGAUUACAGGCGUGAGCCACCGCGUCCAGCCAAUUGGUGGGUUCCUGGUCUCACUGACUUCAAGAAUGAAGCCACGGACCCUCGCAGUGAGUGUUACAGUUCUUAAAGAUGGUGUGUUCAGAAUUUGUUCCUUCUGAUGUUCGGACGUGUAUGGAGUUUCUUCAUUCUGGUGGGUUCGUGGUCUCUCUGGCUUCAGGAAUGAAGCUGUAGAACUCUGCGAUGCUGUUACGAACUUCCCUUAGAAUCAACCCAUUUGUGAAACACCACAUUAAUAAGAGCAGUAUCUUUGGAGAUUGGAGAGUCCACCAAGGAUGCCCACUGGCUCCCUACAAAGUUUUUUAUGUGAGGACUCGGUCUCAGGCUCAGAAGUGGAAGAGAUGUGCCUUGACUCAGAUGAGACUUUGGACUUGGACUUUUGAGUUAAUUCUGGAAUGAGUUAAAACUUUAGGGGACUGUUG